UUUGCUCUUUGGAUCAAAGAAGAGGUUCAUCUUAAUUGAUCAAGCCUAUCUCCCUUAUCAUUUUCAUUUCAUAUACCAGAAUGAAAGAAAUGGCAUUCAUGCUAUGAUUCUUAUGAGAGAACAGUUUACUACAUCAGUAGACAAGUGAGAGGAGCAAGCCAAUUUACCUAAGGAAACAACUGAAAAACUCUCUUUAUUUCCUAUUUCCCGUGUUUUUUACUAGUCGAAGCUGGUUUUAUUUCCUUUUCGAAUGGUCUAGCUAUGAAUGAUGAUCACUUUUAGGCCAUCCUUAUCAGUCGAGCUUUGCGAUAGCUGAGCAAUCGAAGCUAAGCCCGAAACAGAAAGAAGAGAAAGAUUGACUUUCACCGCAAACCGUAAGAUUCAAGAUAAGUUGUGAUCUCAACAGCUGAAAGCAGAAUGCGGAAAGCAAAAGCUACAGAGUUUUCUAUACGACCUCCAAAGCCAAAAGCCUCCUCUCUCCUUUAACAAAGCCAACUGCCCGUGA
This 505-nucleotide long non-coding RNA is filed under the name Amborella trichopoda. RNAcentral describes it as "long non-coding RNA (ATRI_LNC000627)". The record is from RNAcentral. Lineage: Eukaryota; Viridiplantae; Streptophyta; Magnoliopsida; Amborellales; Amborellaceae.